RNAcentral lists this ribosomal RNA (253 nucleotides) under uncultured bacterium. RNAcentral's name for it is "partial 16S ribosomal RNA". It matches the Rfam family "Bacterial small subunit ribosomal RNA", at positions 524 to 776 of the family's 1533-position model. The record is from RNAcentral.
UACGGAGGGUGCGAGCGUUGUCCGGAAUCACUGGGCGUAAAGGGCGCGUAGGCGGCGCGGUAAGCGUGCGGUGAAAGCCCGGGGCUCAACCCCGGGUCGGCCGUGCGGACUGCCGGGCUCGAGCACUGUAGAGGCGGGUGGAAGUCCGGGUGUAGCGGUGGAAUGCGUAGAGAUCCGGAAGAACACCGGUGGCGAAGGCGGCCCGCUGGGCAGUGGCUGACGCUGAGGCGCGACAGCGUGGGGAGCAAACAGG